AUUGAACGCUGGCGGCAGGCCUAACACAUGCAAGUCGAGCGGAUGAAGGGAGCUUGCUCCUGGAUUCAGCGGCGGACGGGUGAGAAAUGCCUAGGAAUCUGCCUGGUAGUGGGGGAUAACGUCCGGAAACGGGCGCUAAUACCGCAUACGUCCUGAGGGAGAAAGUGGGGGAUCUUCGGACCUCACGCUAUCAGAUGAGCCUAGGUCGGAUUAGCUAGUUGGUGGGGUAAAGGCCUACCAAGGCGACGAUCCGUAACUGGUCUGAGAGGAUGAUCAGUCACACUGGAACUGAGACACGGUCCAGACUCCUACGGGAGGCAGCAGUGGGGAAUAUUGGACAAUGGGCGAAAGCCUGAUCCAGCCAUGCCGCGUGUGUGAAGAAGGUCUUCGGAUUGUAAAGCACUUUAAGUUGGGAGGAAGGGCAGUAAGUUAAUACCUUGCUGUUUUGACGUUACCAACAGAAUAAGCACCGGCUAACUUCGU
RNAcentral lists this ribosomal RNA (483 nucleotides) under uncultured bacterium. RNAcentral's name for it is "partial 16S ribosomal RNA". It matches the Rfam family "Bacterial small subunit ribosomal RNA", at positions 30 to 506 of the family's 1533-position model. The record is from RNAcentral.